Molecule: transfer RNA, 58 nt
Filed under: Heterodera glycines (soybean cyst nematode)
Lineage: Eukaryota; Metazoa; Nematoda; Chromadorea; Rhabditida; Heteroderidae
Description: tRNA-Pro
Source: RNAcentral
GUUUUUUUAUUUUAUUUGAAGAAUUUAUUUUUUGGGUAAAUAAGGUCAUAAGAAAACU